GCACAACGCGAAGAACCUUACCUACUCUUGACAUCCAGAGAACUUAGCAGAGAUGCUUUGGUGCCUUCGGGAACUCUGAGACAGGUGCUGCAUGGCUGUCGUCAGCUCGUGUUGUGAAAAUGUUGGGUUAAGUCCCGCAACGAGCGCAACCCUUAUCCUUUGUUGCCAGCGGUUCGGCCGGGAACUCAAAGGAGACUGCCAGUGAUAAACUGGAGGAAGGUGGGAUGACGUCAAGUCAUCAUGGCCCUUACGACGUAGGGCUACGACACGUGCUACAAUGGCGUAUACAAAGAGAAGCGACCUCGCGAGAGCAAGCGGACCUCAUAAAGUACGUCGUAGUCCGGAUUGGAGUCUGCAACUCGACUCCAUGAAGUCGGAAUCGCUAGUAAUCGUAGAUCAGAAUGCUACGGUGAAUACGUUACCCGGGUCUUGUACUACACCG
RNAcentral lists this ribosomal RNA (442 nucleotides) under uncultured bacterium. RNAcentral's name for it is "bacterial SSU rRNA". It matches the Rfam family "Bacterial small subunit ribosomal RNA", at positions 954 to 1386 of the family's 1533-position model. The record is from RNAcentral.